RNAcentral lists this ribosomal RNA (487 nucleotides) under Streptococcus sanguinis. RNAcentral describes it as "bacterial SSU rRNA". It matches the Rfam family "Bacterial small subunit ribosomal RNA", at positions 28 to 498 of the family's 1533-position model. Lineage: Bacteria; Bacillati; Bacillota; Bacilli; Lactobacillales; Streptococcaceae. The record is from RNAcentral.
GACGAACGCUGGCGGCGUGCCUAAUACAUGCAAGUAGAACGCUGAAGAGAGGAGCUUGCUCUUCUUGGAUGAGUUGCGAACGGGUGAGUAACGCGUAGGUAACCUGCCUGGUAGCGGGGGAUAACUAUUGGAAACGAUAGCUAAUACCGCAUGAAAUUGCUUAUCGCAUGAUAAUUAAUUGAAAGAUGCAAUUGCAUCACUACCAGAUGGACCUGCGUUGUAUUAGCUAGUUGGUGAGGUAACGGCUCACCAAGGCGACGAUACAUAGCCGACCUGAGAGGGUGAUCGGCCACACUGGGACUGAGACACGGCCCAGACUCCUACGGGAGGCAGCAGUAGGGAAUCUUCGGCAAUGGGGGGAACCCUGACCGAGCAACGCCGCGUGAGUGAAGAAGGUUUUCGGAUCGUAAAGCUCUGUUGUAAGAGAAGAACGGGUGUGAGAGUGGAAAGUUCACACUGUGACGGUAUCUUACCAAAAGGCACGGCU